UACGGAGGGUGCAAGCAUUGAUCGGAAUUACUGGGCGUAAAGGGCGCGUAGGCGGCAGGAAAAGUCAGAUGUGAAAUUCCGGGGCUCAACCCCGGAGCUGCAUUUGAAACUCUCUUGCUAGAGUACAGUUAGGGUAAACGGAAUUCCACGUGUAGCGGUGAAAUGCGUAGAUAUGUGGAAGAACACCGGUGGUGAAGACGGUUUACUGGGCUGUAACUGACGCUGAGGCGCGAAAGCAUGGGGAUCAAACAGG
This 253-nucleotide ribosomal RNA is filed under the name uncultured bacterium. RNAcentral describes it as "partial 16S ribosomal RNA". It matches the Rfam family "Bacterial small subunit ribosomal RNA", at positions 524 to 776 of the family's 1533-position model. The record is from RNAcentral.